This 2143-nucleotide ribosomal RNA is filed under the name Salmonella enterica. Its description in RNAcentral is "partial 23S ribosomal RNA". It matches the Rfam family "Bacterial large subunit ribosomal RNA", at positions 679 to 2803 of the family's 2925-position model. The record is from RNAcentral. Lineage: Bacteria; Pseudomonadati; Pseudomonadota; Gammaproteobacteria; Enterobacterales; Enterobacteriaceae. RNAcentral also lists the same sequence under 1 other name.
GAGUCUUAACCGGGCGUUAAGUUGCAGGGUAUAGACCCGAAACCCGGUGAUCUAGCCAUGGGCAGGUUGAAGGUUGGGUAACACUAACUGGAGGACCGAACCGACUAAUGUUGAAAAAUUAGCGGAUGACCUGUGGCUGGGGGUGAAAGGCCAAUCAAACCGGGAGAUAGCUGGUUCUCCCCGAAAGCUAUUUAGGUAGCGCCUCGUGAAUUCAUCUCCGGGGGUAGAGCACUGUUUCGGCUAGGGGGCCAUCCCGGCUUACCAACCCGAUGCAAACUGCGAAUACCGGAGAAUGUUAUCACGGGAGACACACGGCGGGUGCUAACGUCCGUCGUGAAGAGGGAAACAACCCAGACCGCCAGCUAAGGUCCCAAAGUCAUGGUUAAGUGGGAAACGAUGUGGGAAGGCCCAGACAGCCAGGAUGUUGGCUUAGAAGCAGCCAUCAUUUAAAGAAAGCGUAAUAGCUCACUGGUCGAGUCGGCCUGCGCGGAAGAUGUAACGGGGCUAAACCAUGCACCGAAGCUGCGGCAGCGACACUGUGUGUUGUUGGGUAGGGGAGCGUUCUGUAAGCCUGUGAAGGUGUGUCGUGAGGCAUGCUGGAGGUAUCAGAAGUGCGAAUGCUGACAUAAGUAACGAUAAAGCGGGUGAAAAGCCCGCUCGCCGGAAGACCAAGGGUUCCUGUCCAACGUUAAUCGGGGCAGGGUGAGUCGACCCCUAAGGCGAGGCCGAAAGGCGUAGUCGAUGGGAAACGGGUUAAUAUUCCCGUACUUGGUGUUACUGCGAAGGGGGGACGGAGAAGGCUAUGUUGGCCGGGCGACGGUUGUCCCGGUUUAAGCGUGUAGGUGUGUGUUCCAGGUAAAUCCGGUUCACUUUAACACUGAGGCGUGACGACGAGGCACUACGGUGCUGAAGCAACAAAUGCCCUGCUUCCAGGAAAAGCCUCUAAGCAUCAGGUAACAUCAAAUCGUACCCCAAACCGACACAGGUGGUCAGGUAGAGAAUACCAAGGCGCUUGAGAGAACUCGGGUGAAGGAACUAGGCAAAAUGGUGCCGUAACUUCGGGAGAAGGCACGCUGACACGUAGGUGAAGUGAUUUACUCAUGGAGCUGAAGUCAGUCGAAGAUACCAGCUGGCUGCAACUGUUUAUUAAAAACACAGCACUGUGCAAACACGAAAGUGGACGUAUACGGUGUGACGCCUGCCCGGUGCCGGAAGGUUAAUUGAUGGGGUCAGCGCAAGCGAAGCUCCUGAUCGAAGCCCCGGUAAACGGCGGCCGUAACUAUAACGGUCCUAAGGUAGCGAAAUUCCUUGUCGGGUAAGUUCCGACCUGCACGAAUGGCGUAAUGAUGGCCAGGCUGUCUCCACCCGAGACUCAGUGAAAUUGAACUCGCUGUGAAGAUGCAGUGUACCCGCGGCAAGACGGAAAGACCCCGUGAACCUUUACUAUAGCUUGACACUGAACAUUGAGCCUUGAUGUGUAGGAUAGGUGGGAGGCUUUGAAGUGUGGACGCCAGUCUGCAUGGAGCCGACCUUGAAAUACCACCCUUUAAUGUUUGAUGUUCUAACGUGGACCCGUUACCCGGGUUGCGGACAGUGUCUGGUGGGUAGUUUGACUGGGGCGGUCUCCUCCUAAAGAGUAACGGAGGAGCACGAAGGUUGGCUAAUCCUGGUCGGACAUCAGGAGGUUAGUGCAAUGGCAUAAGCCAGCUUGACUGCGAGCGUGACGGCGCGAGCAGGUGCGAAAGCAGGUCAUAGUGAUCCGGUGGUUCUGAAUGGAAGGGCCAUCGCUCAACGGAUAAAAGGUACUCCGGGGAUAACAGGCUGAUACCGCCCAAGAGUUCAUAUCGACGGCGGUGUUUGGCACCUCGAUGUCGGCUCAUCACAUCCUGGGGCUGAAGUAGGUCCCAAGGGUAUGGCUGUUCGCCAUUUAAAGUGGUACGCGAGCUGGGUUUAGAACGUCGUGAGACAGUUCGGUCCCUAUCUGCCGUGGGCGCUGGAGAACUGAGGGGGGCUGCUCCUAGUACGAGAGGACCGGAGUGGACGCAUCACUGGUGUUCGGGUUGUCAUGCCAAUGGCACUGCCCGGUAGCUAAAUGCGGAAGAGAUAAGUGCUGAAAGCAUCUAAGCACGAAACUUGCCCCGAG